GUGGGGAAUUUUGGACAAUGGGCGCAAGCCUGAUCCAGCAAUGCCGCGUGCAGGAAGAAGGCCUUCGGGUUGUAAACUGCUUUUGUACGGAACGAAACGGUCCUGGUUAAUACCUGGGGCUAAUGACGGUACCGUAAGAAUAAGCACCGGCUAACUACGUGCCAGCAGCCGCGGUAAUACGUAGGGUGCGAGCGUUAAUCGGAAUUACUGGGCGUAAAGCGUGCGCAGGCGGUGCUGUAAGACAGGCGUGAAAUCCCCGGGCUCAACCUGGGAAUUGCGCUUGUGACUGCAGUGCUGGAGUACGGCAGAGGGGGAUGGAAUUCCGCGUGUAGCAGUGAAAUGCGUAGAUAUGCGGAGGAACACCGAUGGCGAAGGCAGUCCCCUGGGCCUGUACUGACGCUCAUGCACGAAAGUGUGGGGAGCAAACAGGAUUAGAAACCCGUGUAGUCC
This 450-nucleotide ribosomal RNA is filed under the name uncultured bacterium. RNAcentral describes it as "partial 16S ribosomal RNA". It matches the Rfam family "Bacterial small subunit ribosomal RNA", at positions 354 to 796 of the family's 1533-position model. The record is from RNAcentral.